GCGGCGGGGCCCGUGCCGUGACCCCGGAGCCGCGACCCGGCCGGCGGAGCUCGAUGCGUCCUGAGGCUUUGGGGUCGCCGUCAGCGGAUCCUUCCCCUCCGUCCGCCGGGCCCUGUGCUCCCUGCGCCGGGCUCCGUCCGCCCGGCCACCGGCGCCGCGGUAGCGCUGGAACCCGCGUAGGGAACACAAACCCUGGCAGCAGGAGCCCGGCAGGUAAAUCACUGCGGGUCUCUGAGGUUGCCCCUCUGUGCCCUCAGCAGCGUGUGGCCUAAGACACGUUUUUCUGGACUCCAGGGAUGUGUUUCAGCUUCACAUCUCUCGCUGACCCCGCGUCUGCACUAAAUACAGAUUUACGGUUUGCUUUUAGCAGUCCCGGCACAUGGAAUGCGUAACUUUAACCCAGUUCGUGUUCAGCUUGCUUCUGUCAAGCACCAAAUACCCGAUCUCUUCCAUCUCCGUUAGGAGAAGUGAUGAGCAAGUGUCUUUGCAAUUUCCAGUGAGGAUAAGGCAUCUUGGUGCUUUUACAACUCUGAUUUCAUUGCUCCCUAACAAAUACCAAUGAUUUCUACAGUUUAGUUAGUAAAAAUUUGUUGUACAUGAGAAAUAAACAUGUAUAUGUUUUCUUUAUAGAAUCAUUGAAUCAUUUCAGUUGGAAGAAACCCUCAGGAUCAUCGAGUCCAACCAUAAUCUAACUCUGGCACUAAACCAUAUCCCUGAGAACCUCAUCUAUGCGCCUUUUGAACACCUCCCAGUCUUUAUAAAUGUCUAGACUUUUAGAUAUAAAAAGGCAAAACAACAUCACCAGAAAAGGAAGCAAAUCUUUUGCUAUCAAACACAGUCCUUUGACCCCUGAACGUGAGUCUCCAUCUUCCUAUCAGCAUAACGCACUCCUUGUUACACUGGUAAACAAUUCAUAGAUCUUCCAUCAAGCACCUCCGGAGAGGAAUGAAAACAAGAGCUGAAGUCUCCCACUGCGCCUCUUUCCACCACGGUUGCUACUAGUGCCCCUCGUACUGUCAAACUGCAUCAGCAAAUCCAACCGCCAGCCUCUGUAGACAUGAGUCUGGAGUAUGGUAUGUGUCUUGCAGCCUGUUCCCAGAAGACUCAAAUAUUUAAGUGAAAAUUCCAUGAAUAAGAAGAGAUUGUUUUUUCCUCUGGAUUAUCAGGAAAAGAAUUUGUAUUGUGCUGCAGGCUAUUCAGUGAGGGCUGAAGUCUCUUUUUGUGUAGCUACUGUCUAUCAAGUGUAAAUCAAUGCAUUGUGUACUAAGUGUAAAAAUGCUUUUCUGAUACUCGGCUAAAUUAUUAUUGUUGUUUUGACCCUUGUCUUUCAUUCACCUCCACUCACUUGCUGACUUUUGUGGUUUCUGAGAUGACAUGUUGAUUUAGGACCACUGCGAUAGACCAAUCUCAUCUCGUACUUUCCAUCUAAUUUUAUACUCUUAUUCCCUAAUGGUCUUAUUUGCCACCAGUCUGCAUUCUUCUUACACACUACCAAUAAAAUUUAUUCAUUAUG
This is a long non-coding RNA of Columba livia (rock pigeon), 1513 nucleotides long. RefSeq lists it as uncharacterized. Lineage: Eukaryota; Metazoa; Chordata; Aves; Columbiformes; Columbidae. The record is from RefSeq and is a predicted model, not a curated record. The transcript has 2 exons.